GUAACUUUUGUUUUCUCUUUACAGAUGAAAUGUGAGGCAGCAACGAAAGUGAUUUGGAAGGUAAACCAGUGGAAAGAAAGGACCACCACCCCUACAUCGUUAAUGUGAUGAUGGGCUUCUGGUGGGGACGGGGACGAGGCAGUGACCGAGGGCCGAGAUGAGCUGCCUUCAGGACGUACCUUGAGUCCUCACCACCGCCCACGCCCGCCCUGCGUCCGCCCCUGUCAUGGCUGCUGACAGCAGCUUGCCGGGGCGGCGCUUCCUGUGUCGCGAGUGGGCGUGGGCAAAGCUGUGGGCAUGUCUGGAACAGAGGCCGGCCGCCAAGACAUGCGGGGCUUUGUUGGUAGGCGGCCCAGGCACUGGUAAAACCGCGCUCUGCACAGAGUUGGUGUCACCUUCAGCAUCUCAUGGCCGCCAUGCCUCAGCCCUCCAUGCACGUCUUCUGGCACACCAUAUGUGCCACGCCCACCUGGCUGCCUCUCUCAGCGUUGGCUGCUUCAUCCAAUCCCUGGUGGCUCAACUAGAGACAUCUCCACUUCUGCCUAACUACAGCAGUAAAACUGAGUCACCUGAGGUAUGUGCUGCCCUUGAGCCCCGUGCCCUCCAUGCCAACCCUGAUGAAGCCUUCCGCCGCUCUGUCAUCUUUCCUCUGCUGGAGCUGGAUCAGCCUGACCGCACAUUGUUGUUAGUAGUGGACAGCAUUGAUGAGACUGAUCUACAGGCACCAGUGGCAGCCACACCGCGUGAUGGUGGCUCGAUGGAUACAGGUAACAAAGGUCCAUCACGCACCAUCGCCGAACUGCUGGCCACCCACCACCAUCUUUUGCCGCAGUGGUUGCUUCUGGUUGUCACUGCACGCCGAACGUCACGCACCAUCAUCCGUCAGUUUGCCGGCUUUCGAAAAGUUGCCCUGGAUGACCUGCGGCGAGGCCACGUGGUGCGGGAUGUGCAACAGUAUAUUUUGUGCCGCCUGGACCGCGAGCCCGCCCUCCGACACCACCUGUCGCGGGAAACAGCAGAGAUGCUCAAUCAGUUGCAUAUCAAAAGCAACGGCUGCUUUUUGUACUUGGAGCGUGUAUUAGAUGGUGUGGCAGAUGGCUGGGUAACAUUGCGCGAGAUCCGGCACAUUCCCGGCACUCUCAAUGGUCUAUAUCUGUGGCUGUGCCAGCGAUUGUACCCACGGCGGCACUUCCAACGUGUGGCGCCAUUGUUAGCUGUCAUUCUUGCUGCUCGUGCACCCCUCACACCAAAAGAGCUGCGGGAAGCUGUUGAGACGCGCUUCCCAACUCUCACUGAUGAGGACUGGAGCAAGCGAUGGUCGCUUCUGAUGCGGGUGCUGGCCCCUGAGCAUGACCAGCAGGUGCUCCUCUUUCAUCAUAGCUUUGCUGAAUGGCUGCUGGAUGUGAAGCACUGCACCCAGAAGUACCUGGUAGAUGUGGCUGAUGGGCAUGCAAUGUUAGCUAUGAGCCUUUCUCUCCAGUCCUCAUCUCUCAGCCUGAUGCAGGUCCAUCAGUUAGCUCUCCACCUCUCUCGUAUUCGCCUGGAACCACCUUUAGAGCAGCACCACCUCCCACUAUGGAUGGUUUCAUGUGGGGUGCCUCUGAGUCUCUGCCAAGAUCUUCCACCACCAAGAGAUCCACGUGCCCUGAAGAUCCUGCAAGAAGCUGGUGCUGCCCUUCCUGACGAUCAGCCACAGGAGGAGGAGGAUGAUGAUGAUGAUGAAGAUGAUGACGAAGAUGAAGAUGAAGUAGAAGAGGGUGGAGAGGAAGAAGGACCUCCAACAGAAAUUCGCUAUGAAGAAUUAGAACAGGAGGAUGAAGAGAUCCAGGAGAGCACACAUGAAUCAGAUAAACUCAAAAAAGAAGAUUGCAAGGAAGAGCACGCUAAGGAAGAUGGUAUGAACUGUAAAACUGAUGACAUACUCGAUGCAGUUGAUAACAUUAGACUGGAGGAAGUGUGUAGUGCUGAAAAUGAUAAAAAUGAGCAAGAAGAGAAAGUUGAUGUGGAAUCAGAGGUGACUAAUGAAAAAGUUUGUAAAGAGGAGAGUGAAAAGGAUGAUGAGUAUGUGACAAUGGUACCUCUGCCAGGAGAGUUUGUAAAUGGUGGCUCAAUAGGUGGACGGAGCAUUGAUGGUGGCAUAGGCACAGGAAGCUGCCAAAGUACUGAUGGCCGCCAAAGUACUGGAGGUCGACAGAGUACUGGGGGCAGGCAGAGCACUGGAGGCCGGCAGAGCACUGGAGGCCGGCACAGUAGUACAGGGGGACGGCACAGUAGUGAGCACAGUAGUAGCAGUAGUCGACGGCGAGAACGUCGAAGACGGCGUCACCGUGAGGACCCUCUCUACCCAUACUUACGAGGUGGUCCUGUUGACCAGGUGGACAGUUCUGGCCGCUCCCUGCUUCACAGUGCUGCUCAUCAAGGAGAUGCUUCUCUUGUGCGUCUCCUUCUAGAGCGAGGAGCCUUCCAUGGCCUUCAGGAUCGAGCUGGCCAGACACCCCUUAACUUAGCUGCACGACAUGGACACGCCGAGGUAGUAGCCACUCUUUUAGCAGCGGGUGCUGACCCUGAUCAUGCUGAUGCUGAUGGCUGGACAGCGCUCAGAUCAGCAGCUUGGGGUGGACACAGUGGAGUGGUCAACGCCUUGUUGGUGGGUGGCACACAAGUUGACCUCGCGGAUGCAGAUGGUCGAACAGCACUGCGGGCUGCCGCCUGGGGUGGCCAUGAAGAUGUGGUGGCUUCACUCUUGCACCAUGGUGCGGACGUCAAUCGGGCAGAUAGCGAGGGCCGCACGCCCCUCAUUGCGGCGGCCUACAUGGGUCAUUCAGAAAUUGUGGAAGCUCUACUGGAGGUAGGAGCUGAUGUUAACCAUGAGGAUGUGGAUGGCAGGACAGCGCUGAGUGUGGCAGCUCUUUGUGUGCCAGCCAGCGAGGGCCACACCAGUGUGGUGACCACCCUACUGGAGCUUGGUGCUAAGGUUGACCACCAAGACCACGAUGGCCUCACACCUCUUCUCGUAGCAGCCUUUGAGGGACACACAGAGGUCUGUGAACUAUUGCUUGAGUAUGAAGGUGAUGUGGACCAUGUGGACCGUUCAGGGCGUACCCCUUUGUUGGCUGCAGCUUCUAUGGGCCACGCAGCUGUGGUAGAGAGGCUUUUGUUUUGGGGAUGUUAUGUGGACCACAUCGAUGCUGAGGGUCGCACUGUGCUGAGCGUGGCAGCAGCUCAGGGCUCCCAGGAAACAGUGAGGUUACUUCUUGAUAGAGGCUUGGAUGAAACUCACAGAGACAAUGCUGGCUGGACACCAUUGCAUUAUGCUGCAUUUGAAGGUCAUUGUGGUGUAUGUGAAGCUCUCCUAGAGGCUGGCGCAAGGGUUAAUGAAGUGGACAAUGAUGGGAAACAUGCGCUGGUCCUGGCAGCACAAGAAGGCCACACUGCUGUGGUGGCUGCCUUGUUGGAUGCCGGGGCUAACAUUGAUCAUACCAGCCAUGAUGGAAGGUCUGCACUUCGUGUGGCUGCUUUAGAAGGACAUAAAGAUGUGGUGCACCUCCUCUUGUGUCGAGGAGCUGAUCUUCAUUAUAAAGAUGCCGAUGGUCGCUCAACACUAUAUCUCCUUGCUCUUGAAAAUAGACUGGACAUGGCAAAGUUCUUAAUGGAGAAUAAUGCAAACGUUGAAAGUACAGAUUUGGAGGGACGCACACCACUGCAUGUUACAGCAUGGCAAGGUCACACCUGCAUGGUGGCUCUACUUUUAGAUGGUGGUGCCCAUGUAGAUGCUGUAGACAAAGAACGUCGAACGCCUCUUCAGAGUGCUGCUUGGCAAGGGCAUGCAGAAGUGGUUAGAUUGUUACUGGAGCGGGGUGCUACAGUUGACCACACUUGCUCUCAAGGGGCAACAGCAUUAAGUAUAGCUGCACAAGAGGGUCAUGAGGAUAGUGUUGCAGCUCUUCUACAGUAUGGUGCCAACCCAGCACACUCAGAUAGAUGUGGCAGGACUGCCAUUAAGGUAGCCUUGAAGGGUGGUCACAUACAUCUUGCUCGCAUGUUGGAGGAGAGCAUGGUUCUACAACAGCAGCAAGGAGGUGUUUCUCGCAUGGCAGCUUCAUCAGUGGGUUCAGGUUCUACCACAGAAACAAAGCCUUGCUCAGCCAUGCUGUGUCCAGGGUUGGCAGCUUCACCGGCAGAGAGUCCAGAGUCCACUUUUGAGAAGCGUAGGUCUGUUGCUUCAUUAGGGCAGCAUUCUUCUUCCAAAUCCUCUGGGAAUCUUACCACAUCCACUCGUUCCUCUGGUGGCCCCAGGGCACCCACACCCCGGGAAGCUCACAGCCACUUGCUCCAGCACCAGCAGCAGCCAUUGCCACCACCUGCACCAUCUGCACCACCUGUUUCAGCAAUGUCUCCAAUUUUAAGUUUUACCCAGCAACUUCAGCAGUGUGGUCGUGGUAGAGGAAGGCGCCACCCUCCACCACCACCCCAGCCAGCUCUUACUCCUCUAGAUGAGCCAGCAUCACCAAUUUAUGCAUCUCCACCACUUUCACCUCUGAGUGAUGGUCCUGGUGGAGGGAGGAAUUUACAUUCUCUUGCUAUCUUAGAAGAUGACUAUACAGUUCCUCUGCAGCACCCAGCAGUACGUGCACCGAGACCUUCUGCCCCACCGGCCAGCAUUACUGCUGAGCUUUGUCGUCGACCUGGUGGAGGAGGAGGAACUGUAGGAACUGGAGGUGGAGGUGGGGGAGGAGGGAGCAGCAGUGUUCCAGGUCUUGGGAACAUACCCAACAUGGGGGUUAGUGUUCCAGGAGUGACAGGUGCAGGGUCACCAGGCUCCUCUGGGUUCACCUUCACCCAGGACCAGCACAUGCGCAUCAUUCUGGGCACCCGUUCCCCUGAGCCACGCCCACGUCGCAACGGCAUUGUUACCAACCCAAGCCUUAAGGCCGCCAUGCCAAGGUCAGCCACCUGCUCAGGAAUGGUCUUAGUGGCCGCCCCAGACCACCACCUGCCAGACCUAAUGGUUUGCCACUGAAGAAGGAAACUCCUCUAUGACCAAAGAUAAACACAGAUUCUGGUGAGCCUUUACUGUGGCACCAAGGGGACAACUAAAUGUUAUGAUGAUACAUGAUAGAGUAAAGAGAACAAGAGCAUUGUUGUCAUAUGUGGAUCCUGCAGACUAGCAUCAUCACAACAGUUGAUAACAACACCGGUACUUCAUGAUUGUUUAAAAUGCUGAAAAGAAGAGGAUAGCUAGAAGAAAUACACUGCAAUUAUUUUAUUAAGACAAGAAAGGUGUAGUGAAAGAUGCAGUAUGUGGACUACAAAACAUGUUGGGGAAUGGGAAUAUUGUGAAUUCUACAACUUGAUGUUUUAGUUCUGGUUACUAGUGAACAUUCUAUACUCAUAAUGAGUCUGGUAUAUGUCAUUGUUUUCACCACUAGGAGCAGUCUGCAGGUUUCACAUUAAAUUUAAACAACAAAUUUAAAUAUAUGUUAGAUUUUUAUAUAUUCAUAUAAUUAUGUAUUUCUCUUAGAGGAAGUCAUAUAUAUUUCAUAGGAAUCAUCCAGUUCUGAUAAUUUGUUGUUCCAGUGCUCAGAAUUUUCCAUUGAGUGGAUUCUCAUACAAGUAUAUUUCAUUACUGUCCCGGGUGCCAAGUGGCGACAGAGCUCACAAGUGUUGCUGGUGAGCACAUGUGCAGAGACUGCAACACCAAGUCUCUUGACAGUCUGUAUGGCAGUUUGGAAUAGAGGCCAGCAUACAUUUGAUAGUAGUCUGAAAAUUUAGUAAUGUGCUCUCUCUCUCUCUCUCUCUCUCUCUCUCUCUCUCUUUUCCAAAACUCCACACAAAGAUAUUCAAAGUAAAGUCACUGAAUCAUAUCUCAGUGAGAAAAAAGGGUUCCUGGUGAUGUCAUAAAACAUGAAUUUAUAAGGUAGUAAUAUAUUCAUAUAGUACCAAUUGUCAUUACUCAAGUGUUUGAACCAAAGUAAGUGGUCAACAUUUGAUAUCAAUGCAUUCUCAUGUGGCACUAUCUUUUUAUUGAUUUUUCAAUGACAGUACAGAUCAUUUUAGUUUGUCAUGUCAGACGGAACAAUUUUCUUAAUAAAGGGUAAUAAUAAUAUCUACACUACUUAUUGCUGUAUUGGAGAGCUGAAUAAAACAUUUACUUAUGAUCAUUACCUUAAAAUUUAGGAUAAUGCCAAAUGCUGAUGGAUACUUUAUUUGUUUACAUGAAUUAAAUAUUAUAUUUUCUUUAUUUAAAUUAAGAGAAAGCCUCAAAAUUCUCCAAACUGUCACAACAGCAUGUCAGGUGUGUUAUAUAGGUGUUGUAUUCUAGUGUAUAUAGAGCUGACUGAACUAGUCUUGUAGCAUGGAUGUUGUGUAAUGCUCAUGUCCAGAUGUAAAUAAUGUCUUCUUGCAUAUGUACAGAAAAAAAAUGUGUGAAUCUAUUGCUACUAUAAUGUGAGAUAUGGUAAUGUACAUCUACUUGUGCCCACUUGAUACUUAUGAUUUUUGUUGACUCCCAGUGUACAGAUUGGGAGUCCUGUUAUUAUUUGGUGUACAUGUCAGUGCUGGUGACCCGCCUCAUAACAGAUUGUAUAUUUGACAGAAUCACAUCUACUAUAAUUGUGUUUGCUUACAUAUUACAUACAGGUUCAGUAACAUAUGCUGCCAAUAAUCUCAUGCCAAUGCAAGAAUAUCUUUGAUAUAAUAUUUUCAUUAAGAAUUACUUUCUAAACUGGUCUGUGGUAUACAAGGGUAUACUUGAGCAAUAUAACAUAGAUUUGUAAUUGAGGCAAAGGUAAGGAAUCAUACAAUUUUUAAGAAAAGAUGGAAAAAGUUGUAAAUUUACAGCUUAUAAUUACAUAAUGGAUCUCAUAAGCUUUUAAAAGGAGCUAUUUGUAGAGUAUGGUUUGAAAAUGUUACAUACUAGUUACCAGGAAAUCCUUUUUUCAUAUGUACACAUAUAUAGUUUUGUGACCAGCUUACCUACAGUGGUUGUAUAAGAUCACCAUGCUAUGCAACAUGUGACAGAAUUGCUUCUAAAAUUAGACAAGAAUGAGCUAUAAAUUCUCAGUGAUACGAGUUCUUAUUCAUGCAGAUCAAACCACUAUUUUAAGCCAGUUAAGACAAGAUUUAUUUGCAAGCAUGAAAGACUAUGUGCACUGUGCAUGCACAUAGUCUUUCAUUUACUCUCUUAGCCACUCAUUCCAUACUUAUACCAUAAAUAUGAUAGAUGUACUUAAGUGUAGUGAGAUUUUUUAGCAAGCAAAAUUUUCACGCAGUUCAUCCAGCCCCAGUCUACAUUUGUUUUAUUAUUUUAAUUAUGCAAACAUGUCAGAAUUUGUCAGAAAGAAUUUUGUGGUGUCCAUUAACAGCAAAGACUAUAGUCCGACACAUCUAAAGUGGCGUGACUGGUGUCACAUCUCCAACUUACCUCCCGAUCCACACCCCUCACACACACACACACACACUCUCUCUCUCUCUCUCUCUCUCUCUCUCUCGUUAAAAAAAAUUUAAAAAAAAAAUAAAAAAAUAAAAAUCGGGUUUUUAUGAAUGUUUCUCUAUUUGUGAGUGAAUACCAAGAAAUCUGUACAACACUUGGCACCGUUGCCUCUGCGGCAUUGUCAGCUCAGGUCAGGCUCAUGCUCCUCCCAACCCAACACACCACAGCUGCGCUGCCUGCCUGGUGAGGGCCAAUACAAUUGUCACAUUAAAAAAUAGAUCAGAUAAAUUCAUGGACAGUGAUAUUAGGUGGGGUUAGAUUCACGGGAGCUUAGGUUCAGAGGAGCUGCCUCGUACAGGCCUACCGGCCUCUUGCAGACUCCUAUGUUCUUAUGUUCUUAUAAUUAUGGCAUUUCUGCCAUAGUUUGGUGUGUGUCUGCCAUCUACCAUACACUGUCUGCCAUAUGGCAUAAUUUUGAUAAAAUAUGAGGCUAAUAGUGGAGAGAGAGAGAGAGAGAGAGAGAGAGAGAGAGAGAGAGAGAGAGAGAGAGAGAGAGAGAGAAAAGGGUAUGAGGGGCAUGGUACGUGAGGUUAGUUGGAGAUGUGGCAUCAGUGUAUAGAGGGCUGUCUACGUCAGAGGCACCGCUUUAGGUGUGUCGGACAAUAGUAGACAUUAUUUUAUUAUUUUUAAUUACUAUUGUUGGUAUCAAUAUUUUUAUUUAUUACAAUUAUAACAAUUAUUGUUGCAUUCUAAGUAACAGACUGAGAUGGACGACUAAGUCCUAAAAAAACUCCCUACCUUGCCUCUUCAUUAAAAUUAAAUGUGUUCAUUGCUUAACAUUGUUGAUUGUAUGUAUGUACAAUUAUUAUUUAUUUGUUUUACUUAUUAUCAUUAUAGAAUACCUAUUCAUUAUAUUUUUUCACAACUAAUAUAUACCAAUAUAUGCUACAUGCAAGGUAAUACUUAUGUAAAUAGUUCUUACCUUCUUUUAUCUCCAUAAUUCUACAGUAAAAAAAACAGGCCACAGGAAAUUAUACAGUUAAUAAUGAUAAAAAGAACAAGAACUAAGAUGAAUUGGAGGUGUAACAGCAGUAUGUAGCAAGUUUUAUCUUAGGCAAGCUUGAAAGGAGUUAAGAUUGAGGUGUUGAUUGCAGUGAUGUGUCUGUUGAAGAAAUCAAGGCAAAUUAUUGUGCAAAAAGUCUAGAGUAGGUAAAGUCCCUUCUGCAAUCUAUUCUCACCACAAGAGCAGCAGUCCUAUCACUUUAGAUUGACAAUGUUUUGUUAAAUCAUUGCUGUACCUAUUUAAUAACAAUGAUAAUACAGAAUAGUUACUGGUGAAUCACUACAGCCAUACUUGUCUAAGUUUUAACCCAUUAUGUCUCAGCUUAUUUGUAGUUUUGAAUGAUGUUACUUUGAUUGAACAGGAUAGCAUUGAGAACAUCAACAUCAUUUGCAAUGAUUUAUAGGAGGAAAUGACUUUUUUUCUUUUUUCUGGGAUUUUAGGAUAUGAGAGACAAACAAAAUAUAGCAUCUCAUCAUGUCAGUAACUAAGAAACUUGAAAU
This is an RNA transcript of Eriocheir sinensis (Chinese mitten crab), 8995 nucleotides long. It is a transcript of the gene named ankyrin repeat domain-containing protein 50-like, with no coding region annotated. The transcript has 8 exons. The record is from RefSeq and is a predicted model, not a curated record. Lineage: Eukaryota; Metazoa; Arthropoda; Malacostraca; Decapoda; Varunidae.